AUUGAACGCUGGCGGCAUGCCUAACACAUGCAAGUCGAACGGCAGCACAGUAUGUAGCAAUACAUAUGGGUGGCGAGUGGCGGACGGGUGAGUAACGCGUGGGAAUCUGCCCUAUAGUGGGGGACAACCCGACGAAAGUCGGGCUAAUACCGCAUACGCCCUACGGGGAAAGGCUUCGGCCGGCUAUUGGAUGAGCCCGCGUCGGAUUAGCUAGUUGGUGAGGUAAUGGCUCACCAAGGCGACGAUCCGUAGCUGGUCUGAGAGGACGAUCAGCCACACUGGGACUGAGACACGGCCCAGACUCCUACGGGAGGCAGCAGUGGGGAAUAUUGCACAAUGGGCGAAAGCCUGAUGCAGCAAUGCCGCGUGUGUGAAGAAGGCCUGCGGGUUGUAAAGCACUUUCGGUAGGGAAGAUAAUGACGGUACCUACAGAAGAAGCACCGGCUAACUCCGUGCCAGCAGCCGCGGUAAU
Molecule: ribosomal RNA, 472 nt
Filed under: uncultured bacterium
Lineage: Bacteria
Description: bacterial SSU rRNA
Rfam family: Bacterial small subunit ribosomal RNA
Source: RNAcentral